UUAGCUGAAACCAAAAAAGAGGUAUACUACUGUUAAUAGUAAAAAUGAAAAUUAUUUUCCAGUUAAU
Molecule: transfer RNA, 67 nt
Filed under: Cryptocephalus quadripunctatus
Lineage: Eukaryota; Metazoa; Arthropoda; Insecta; Coleoptera; Chrysomelidae
Description: tRNA-Asn
Source: RNAcentral